Non-coding RNA from Odocoileus virginianus texanus, 1152 nucleotides. The record is from RefSeq and is a predicted model, not a curated record. NCBI's taxonomy places the organism in Eukaryota, Metazoa, Chordata, Mammalia, Artiodactyla, Cervidae.
CUCGCUUGUCCGCCGGCUACUUUGUGCGGUACACCUGCGUGAUGGUCACCUGGGAAAGCCCGGAAGGGUUGUGUGCGGUUCUGUUGUGUUAUGCUAUGUCUGGUGCUACCGCUGCUGUGCUAGCCGCAAGAGAAGAAACGUGUCAGCAGUUCCAACGGCUCCUCGAGCCUUCUUCCAGCCUCUCAGCUCGCGCCUUGCCUGCCCUGGGUUCAGCGAGCAGUGCAGACAGUGGGAUAAGCGACAGUUGGCACUGAGCCGGAUCAGCGACGCACCUGACUUCACCUGACUGUCCCAUGGCAACCUCAGCCACAAGAACUCAACAGGAAUAGAGGGGAAAUUUUACCCCUCCUGACACACCUCAACUGCAAAAGUUACAGCCACAGUGCAUGAUGCAGAAACAUGCCGCCCAGAAUAAAUUACAGCAAAAUGAGCUCAAGAUGAAACAAGCCUGGGGAAAACAUUCCAGACCCACUAAAGAAUGUGUUGUCAUCAAAACUGCCAGGACUCUGCCCUGAUCCCCUUUGGAGGGAGAGAGAUAUUUACAACCUCUAUUCAGGCUCAGCUUGGGACAGAGGGUAAAUGAGAGUCUCGCCAGGCAAAAAUCAGCCUGGGUCCCCUGGAAAAGAGAAGUUCUCUUUGGUUCUUGACACCAGGAGCCUCCUGAGGCCAUGGAGGGAAGGAACAGCUAAGGAAGAGAAACCUCUGAAACAAGUUUCAUCUGAAAAGAAAAAAACAAAAAAACAUGGUUUUCGACUUUUGAAAAUAAAGCAUUAAAGGCAAUGAUUUUCUUUCAUCAUUGUUCUGAAAUAAUGUUUUAGCAGUCUCAUUGUUGAAACAUGACUUCCUAUCGGUAUCUCUGCCUGUUAAUAUUCUUCAAUAUCAGGAAAACACAAGCAGAUGGGGAAAGAGGGAACAAAAAGCACAGCAGUGCAGGGCCUCAGGGUGAGUGAGAGAUGUCUAAAAAUGCUCCGUGCUCCCCAGGCAGAGAGGUGGAGAGAGGUUCAGCAGACAACACCAGUGUGUGAAAUCACCCAGGCCACAGAGGCCCGCUGUGUCUUUGAUCUGUUGUUAAUAUUCUCAGACGGACGAACAGUUCCCAGACUCAAAGAAUGAGGACUGUGCUGAGUGAGAGUGAUUCUUAAUUCCAGCUCA